UGCAGUCGAGCGGUAAGGCCUUUCGGGGUACACGAGCGGCGAACGGGUGAGUAACACGUGGGUGAUCUGCCCUGCACUUCGGGAUAAGCCUGGGAAACUGGGUCUAAUACCGGAUAUGACCUCCUAUCGCAUGACGGGUGGUGGAAAGAUUUAUCGGUGCAGGAUGGGCCCGCGGCCUAUCAGCUUGUUGGUGGGGUAAUGGCCUACCAAGGCGACGACGGGUAGCCGACCUGAGAGGGUGACCGGCCACACUGGGACUGAGACACGGCCCAGACUCCUACGGGAGGCAGCAGUGGGGAAUAUUGCACAAUGGGCGAAAGCCUGAUGCAGCGACGCCGCGUGAGGGAUGACGGCCUUCGGGUUGUAAACCUCUUUCAGCAGGGACGAAGCGCAAGUGACGGUACCUGCAGAAGAAGCACCGGCUAACUACGUGCCAGCAGCCGCGGUAAUACGUAGGGUGCAAGCGUUGUCCGGAAUUACUGGGCGUAAAGAGUUCGUAGGCGGUUUGUCGCGUCGUUUGUGAAAACCAGCAGCUCAACUGCUGGCUUGCAGGCGAUACGGGCAGACUUGAGUACUGCAGGGGAGACUGGAAUUCCUGGUGUAGCGGUGAAAUGCGCAGAUAUCAGGAGGAACACCGGUGGCGAAGGCGGGUCUCUGGGCAGUAACUGACGCUGAGGAACGAAAGCGUGGGUAGCGAACAGGAUUAGAUACCCUGGUAGUCCACGCCGUAAACGGUGGGCGCUAGGUGUGGGUUCCUUCCACGGAAUCCGUGCCGUAGCUAACGCAUUAAGCGCCCCGCCUGGGGAGUACGGGCCGCAAGGCUAAAACUCAAAAGGAA
Molecule: ribosomal RNA, 838 nt
Filed under: Rhodococcus qingshengii
Lineage: Bacteria; Bacillati; Actinomycetota; Actinomycetes; Mycobacteriales; Nocardiaceae
Description: bacterial SSU rRNA
Rfam family: Bacterial small subunit ribosomal RNA
Source: RNAcentral